UUACGAGAACAAUUCUACAGCAUCUUCUGUGCUCUUCAUGGAAAGACAAGAAGGGGUGUGAUCAAACGUGACCAAUCCGCUCAGAAAACACUCUUUGCCUUGACUGAUUCCCCUGUAAUCACAAUUUCCCACUGAUUACAUCUUAAUUAAAUGAUUAUAUCUGGCACUUCCCAUCCUACUACUUGGUUCUGGCUCCCUUCCUCUUUUGGAGGGAGGGACUGACCCCUGAACACCAUCCCAACAUACAGUCAAUUAGAUUAAUCCUCCCUGCUCAGAGAAACAAGGCAGCAAGCAAUUGGAUGACACGUUUAAUCUUGAAAGCAACAUGAGGCAGUGAAAAGAUCGCUUGCUGCUUUGGUGUCUCUGGGUGGAUCCAAACUGCCAAUCUUUUGGUUAGCAGCUGAGCACUGAACCAUUUGCACCACGAGGGACAGCUAAAUUAAGUAGUCAGCCUUAGCAAAUUCACUUUCCUUGCCUCAAUGUACAUUUGGAAAAGGCGUCUUUAAAGCUGUAGUCAACUUGGGUUUCACCUUUGACACGAGCUCGGAGUUCAUUUCACUCUGAAGCUCAAGGAACACUGUACUUUUCUUCCUCCAUUCCAAGAAGGUGAAGAGACGUUUCAAGGCCUUUAGAACUCGACAGAGGCUCUGAGGCACCUUAUGAAGAGAUGUCAUCUGCUUUUGUCUCAAGUAAUCAAGAUUCAUGAUCAUCCUUCCCUCUCUAUUGUUUGGGUUCAUCAUUUUUAGGGGCAAGAUCUCUGCCUUGGAAGUCAAGAGUCCUGACUUGUAGCCCUGACUCGAAAAUGCUGAAGUAAAUAUUAAAGGACAAUGGAAUAUUAUUCAGCCAUCAAAAGGAGUGAAGCACUGAUACAGACCACAGCAUGGAUUAACUUGAAAACAUUAUGCUAAGUGAAAGAAGCCAGACACAAAAAGCCUCAUAUUGUGUGACGUCAUUUGUGUGAAAUGCCCCUGGUAGACAAAUCCAGAG
Trichechus manatus latirostris (Florida manatee) is the source of this 987-nucleotide long non-coding RNA. RefSeq lists it as uncharacterized. The transcript has 4 exons. The record is from RefSeq and is a predicted model, not a curated record. Lineage: Eukaryota; Metazoa; Chordata; Mammalia; Sirenia; Trichechidae.